CAGCUCUCCGAGUAGUGUGGACGUUUAUUGGGCCUAAAGCAUCCGUAGCUUGCUCGAUAAGUCCCCUGUUAAAUCCACCGAUUCAAUCGUUGGAUUGCGGGGGAUACUGUUUGGCUAGGGGACGGGAGAGGUCGACGGUAUUUCCGGGGUAGGGGUGAAAUCCUAUAAUCCCGGGAGGACCACCAGUGGCGAAGGCUGUCGACUAGAACGCGCCCGACGGUGAGGGAUGAAAGCUGGGGGAGCGAACCGGAUUAGAUACCCGAGUAGUCC
This 270-nucleotide ribosomal RNA is filed under the name uncultured archaeon. RNAcentral's name for it is "partial 16S ribosomal RNA". It matches the Rfam family "Archaeal small subunit ribosomal RNA", at positions 477 to 747 of the family's 1478-position model. The record is from RNAcentral.